This 502-nucleotide ribosomal RNA is filed under the name uncultured bacterium. Its description in RNAcentral is "partial 16S ribosomal RNA". It matches the Rfam family "Bacterial small subunit ribosomal RNA", at positions 30 to 523 of the family's 1533-position model. The record is from RNAcentral.
AUUGAACGCUGGCGGCAUGCCUUACACAUGCAAGUCGAACGGCAGCAUGGGUGCUUGCACCUGAUGGCGAGUGGCGAACGGGUGAGUAAUGCAUCGGAACGUACCCGGAAGUGGGGGAUAACGUAGCGAAAGUUACGCUAAUACCGCAUAUUCUGUGAGCAGGAAAGAGGGGGAUCGCAAGACCUCUCGCUUUCGGAGCGGCCGAUGUCGGAUGAGCUAGUUGGCGGGGUAAAGGCCCACCAAGGCAACGAUCCGUAGCGGGUCUGAGAGGAUGAUCCGCCACACUGGGAGUGAAACACGGCCCAGACUCCUACGGGAGGCAGCAGUGGGGAAUUUUGGACAAUGGGGGCAACCCUGAUCCAGCCAUGCCGCGUGAGUGAAGAAGGCCUUCGGGUUGUAAAGCUCUUUCGGCUGUGAAGAAAUCGCAUCUCCUAAUACGGGGUGUGGAUGACGGUACCAGCAUAAGAAGCACCGGCUAACUACGUGCCAGCCGCCGCGGUAA